This 451-nucleotide ribosomal RNA is filed under the name uncultured bacterium. Its description in RNAcentral is "partial 16S ribosomal RNA". It matches the Rfam family "Bacterial small subunit ribosomal RNA", at positions 354 to 796 of the family's 1533-position model. The record is from RNAcentral.
GUGGGGAAUAUUGGACAAUGGGGGGAACCCUGAUCCAGCCAUGCCGCGUGUGUGAAGAAGGCCUUUUGGUUGUAAAGCACUUUAAGCGAGGAGGAGGCUACCGAGAUUAAUACUCUUGGAUAGUGGACGUUACUCGCAGAAUAAGCACCGGCUAACUCUGUGCCAGCAGCCGCGGUAAUACAGAGGGUGCAAGCGUUACUCGGAUUUACUGGGCGUAAAGCGCGCGUAGGUGGCCAAUUAAGUCAGAUGUGAAAUCCCCGAGAUUAACUUGGGAAUUGCAUUCGAUACUGGUUGGCUAGAGUAUGGGAGAGGAUGGUAGAAUUCCAGGUGUAGCGGUGAAAUGCGUAGAGAUCUGGAGGAAUACCGAUGGCGAAGGCAGCCAUCUGGCCUAAUACUGACACUGAGGUGCGAAAGCAUGGGGAGCAAACAGGAUUAGAAACCCGGGUAGUCC